RNAcentral lists this ribosomal RNA (406 nucleotides) under uncultured bacterium. RNAcentral's name for it is "partial 16S ribosomal RNA". It matches the Rfam family "Bacterial small subunit ribosomal RNA", at positions 30 to 526 of the family's 1533-position model. The record is from RNAcentral.
AUUGAACGCUGGCGGCAGGCCUAACACAUGCAAGUCGAACGAGUGGCGGACGGGUGAGUAAUGUCUGGGAAACUGCCUGAUGGAGGGGGCUAACUACUGGAAACGGUAGCUAAUACCGCAUACCAUCGGAUGUGCCCAGAUGGGAUUAGCUAGUAGGUGGGGUAAAGGCGCACCUAGGCGACGAUCCCUAGCUUGUCUGAGCGGAUGACCAGCCACACUGGAACUGAGACACGGGCCAGACUCCUACGGGAGGCAGCAGUGGGGAAUAUUGCACAAUGGGCGCAAGCCUGAUGCAGCCAUGCCGCAUGUAUGAAGAAGGCAUUCGGGUUGUAAAGGACUUUCAGCGGGGAGGCGUUACCCGCAGAAGAAGCACCGGCUAACUCCGUGCCAGCAGCCGCGGUAAUUC